CAAAAACAUCGCUCCCUGAAAAAUCAUUACUACAAUCAUAUAUCAAUUCAGAUAAUAUGUUAUAGGGAGUCGGACCUGCCCAGUGACAUACGUUAAACGGCCGCGGUACUCUGACCGUGCAAAGGUAGCAUAAUCAUUUGCCUUUUAAUUGAAGGCUUGUAUGAAUGGUUUGACGAGAACUAAGCUGUCUCUUCUUAAAUAUAAAAAAAUUAAUUAUUAGGUGAAGAAGCCUAAAUUUAAUUGAGGGACAAGAAGACCCCAUUGAGCUUUAGUGAUUUAAUAAAAAUUUAAAUUGAUUUACUACUCAGUGAAAACUAAUUAUUACAUAGAAUGUAAAUAUCAUUUAUUAAAAAUCUUUAGUUGGGGCGACUAAGGAACAUAAAAAGCUUCCUUUAAAUAUUUUCUUACAAGAAAUCAAUCUUAUUUCAGAGAUCCAGUUCUUACUGAUUAAAGAAAAAAGUUACCAUGGGGAUAACAGCGUAAUCCUUCUGAAGAGUUCAUAUCGAAAGAAGGGUUUGCGACCUCGAUGUUGGACUAAGAUAUCCUAAAGGUGUAGAAGCUUUUAACGGUUAGUCUGUUCGACUAUUAAAAUCUUACGUGAUCUG
Molecule: ribosomal RNA, 605 nt
Filed under: Lunella granulata
Lineage: Eukaryota; Metazoa; Mollusca; Gastropoda; Trochida; Turbinidae
Description: partial 16S ribosomal RNA
Rfam family: Bacterial large subunit ribosomal RNA
Source: RNAcentral